GAAGAACGCUAGCUACAGGCUUAACACAUGCAAGUCGAGGGGAAACGAUAUUGGAAGCUUGCUUCCGAUAGGCGUCGACCGGCGCACGGGUGAGUAGCGCGUAUCCAACCUGCCCAUCACUUGGGGAUAACCUUGCGAAAGUAAGACUAAUACCCAAUGAUAUCUCUAGAAGACAUCUGAAAGGGAUUAAAGAGUUAUCGGUGAUGGAUGGGGAUGCGUCUGAUUAGCUUGUUGGCGGGGUAACGGCCCACCAAGGCGACGAUCAGUAGGGGUUCUGAGAGGAAGGUCCCCCACAUUGGAACUGAGACACGGUCCAAACUCCUACGGGAGGCAGCAGUGAGGAAUAUUGGUCAAUGGACGAGAGUCUGAACCAGCCAAGUAGCGUGCAGGCUGACGGCCCUAUGGGUUGUAAACUGCUUUUAUAAGGGAAUAAAGUGAGCCUCGUGAGGCUUUUUGCAUGUACCUUAUGAAUAAGGACCGGCUAAUUCCGUGCCAGCAGCCGCCGUAA
This 508-nucleotide ribosomal RNA is filed under the name uncultured bacterium. Its description in RNAcentral is "partial 16S ribosomal RNA". It matches the Rfam family "Bacterial small subunit ribosomal RNA", at positions 28 to 523 of the family's 1533-position model. The record is from RNAcentral.